CCUGUCAUUGACAGUGACAGAAGCCAAUCAUGUGACAGAAAGUGCUUUCAUUUACAUUACAUUUACAUUUAUUCACUUAGCAGACGCUUUUAUCCAAAGCGACUUACAAAUGAGAAAGAUACAAGCAAAGCGAUAUAUCAAGCAGAGAACAAUACAAGAAGUGCUACCAUACAAGAUCUAUUAAUUGAAUUCCAGAAGAAGCAAAGUGCAGAGUAGAGGUAUCCUUAGACACAGCAGCAUCUGUGACUCUUCGCCCAAUGAAUAAUUAUGGGAUGGUGUCAGUAUCCCUGGGAGAUGUCUCUCCAGAGUCAAAAACUCCCCACUGCAAAGAACCAAUUAAAGCAGAGGCCCAGGUGAGCCCACCUGGUUCUUCAUUAUCCUGCUGUUUUAUCUGCAGCUCAUUCUCGGGGUGCGUCAAGACUCUGCAUAACUUAAAAUGAUUUAACUUCUGCUUAGAGACUGAUCAGAAUGAGAUCAUGAGUUAUGCACAGUAUGUGUGUAUGAUGAAUGUGAUUACUAUCCAGCUUUCACAUUGUUAAUGAAAUAUACUGUACCUUAGACCCUAAUUUUAAAUAUGUGUUACAAUAGCUUUUGACAAUCCCUGGACUUUGAAAAAUUGCUCUGCAUUUCUAAUCCCCCCCCCCCCCCCAACCCCCCCCCCCGCCAAGUCUGCAUCUUUUCCCUCUUUAG
Ictalurus punctatus (channel catfish) is the source of this 690-nucleotide long non-coding RNA. The record is from Ensembl. NCBI's taxonomy places the organism in Eukaryota, Metazoa, Chordata, Actinopteri, Siluriformes, Ictaluridae.